CACGGGAUAGCUCAGUUGGUUAGAGCACUACACUUUCACUGUAGUUGGAAAAUAGACUAAAAAUCUAUUUUUUUUA
This 76-nucleotide transfer RNA is filed under the name Chryseobacterium wanjuense. RNAcentral describes it as "tRNA_Glu_TTC". It matches the Rfam family "tRNA". From Rfam's summary of the family: Transfer RNA (tRNA) molecules are approximately 80 nucleotides in length. Their secondary structure includes four short double-helical elements and three loops (D, anti-codon, and T loops). Further hydrogen bonds mediate the characteristic L-shaped molecular structure. tRNAs have two regions of fundamental functional importance: the anti-codon, which is responsible for specific mRNA codon recognition, and the 3' end, to which the tRNAs corresponding amino acid is attached (by aminoacyl-tRNA synthetases). tRNAs cope with the degeneracy of the genetic code in two manners: having more than one tRNA (with a specific anti-codon) for a particular amino acid; and 'wobble' base-pairing, i.e. permitting non-standard base-pairing at the 3rd anti-codon position. Lineage: Bacteria; Pseudomonadati; Bacteroidota; Flavobacteriia; Flavobacteriales; Weeksellaceae. The record is from RNAcentral.